CAUCAAGAAGCUUUUAACAGCACUAGCCUUUUAAGCUUGAAAUGGAACCAAAUAUUCCCUUGAUGA
Molecule: transfer RNA, 66 nt
Filed under: Oplurus grandidieri
Lineage: Eukaryota; Metazoa; Chordata; Lepidosauria; Squamata
Description: tRNA-Lys
Source: RNAcentral